CCAACAAGGUUAUGCUCAACCGGCAACAUCAGCGGCUUUAAAUCCAGCACAGCAAACUGCUUCGGUUCCUCCCCAGGCCUAUUACGGAGGUUACUACUGAGUUGGUGAGAUUAUCCGAUGCCAAUUUUGCUGCCUGUAACUUAUUCGCCCUCUUUGUUUGUCUCAACAAAAAUUGAAGGGUAAAACAGAUUUGUCGGACACUGAGUAUUAGAUUAGGAAGAAGCAGUUGAUUUAGGAAGCGAGCAUAGGUGUAAAAAAAAAUUGUGACGGUCCGCGAUUGCAGUGCGAUGUCAGUAGGAUAGAGACUGAAUCAAGAUGGUUUUUGAUGGAUUCGUGUAUGGAAUUUUUGUGUAAUCGUGAAUCUUGUGCGAAAGAAAAUAUGAUUCAGA
Molecule: long non-coding RNA, 389 nt
Filed under: Actinidia chinensis (golden kiwifruit)
Lineage: Eukaryota; Viridiplantae; Streptophyta; Magnoliopsida; Ericales; Actinidiaceae
Description: long non-coding RNA (ACHI_LNC000818)
Source: RNAcentral